AGAGUCUGAUCCUGGCUCAGAACGAACGCUGGCGGCAUGCCUAACACAUGCAAGUCGAACGAGACCUUCGGGUCUAGUGGCGCACGGGUGCGUAACACGUGGGAAUCUGCCCAGGGGUAUGGAAUAACUCAGGGAAACUUGAGCUAAUGCCAUAUGAUGCCGCAUAGGCCAAAGAUUUAUCGCCCUUGGAUGAGCCCGCGUACGAUUAGCUAGUUGGUGGGGUAGAACGGCCUACCAAGGCUACGAUCCUUAGCUGGUCUGAGAGGAUGAUCAGCCACACUGGGACUGAGACACGGCCCAGACUCCUACGGGAGGCAGCAGUGGGGAAUAUUGGACAAUGGGCGAAAGCCUGAUCCAGCAAUGCCGCGUGAGUGAAGAAGGCCUUCGGGUUGUAAAGCUCUUUCUACCCGGGACGAUAAUGACGGUACCGGGAGAAUAAGCCCCGGCUAUCUCCGUGCCAGCAGCCGCGGUACUACGGAGGGGGCUAGCGUUGUUCGGAAUUACUGGGCGUAAAGCGCACGUAGGCGGCCUGCCAAGUCACGGGUGAAAGCCCAGAGCUCAACUCUGGAACUGCCCGUGAAACUGGCAAGCUUGAACAUCGGAGAUGGCAAGUGGAAUUAUGAGCUGUAGGAGGNGACAAUUCGNAGAUAUUUCCGGAACGAACACCGAUNUGGGCCGAAAAGCUGACUUUGGCUGGGACGGAAUUGUUUCGACCCCCUGGAUGGUUGCCAAAAAGCCGUU
This 741-nucleotide ribosomal RNA is filed under the name uncultured bacterium. RNAcentral's name for it is "bacterial SSU rRNA". It matches the Rfam family "Bacterial small subunit ribosomal RNA", at positions 8 to 737 of the family's 1533-position model. The record is from RNAcentral.